Molecule: long non-coding RNA, 4685 nt
Organism: Astatotilapia calliptera (eastern happy)
Lineage: Eukaryota; Metazoa; Chordata; Actinopteri; Cichliformes; Cichlidae
Source: Ensembl
AUAUUUUCAAUAUUAGGCUCACAGGGUGACAGGCGAACACCCUGAACACUCACUGCAGUGCCCUCAGUUUACACUGCAAUAAAAAACUGAGUUUUCAUUUAUUAAAUUUUCCUUCCAGUGACUGGCAGAGCCCCUCCCCACUGAAACAAAGGUUUGAGCUGGACCAGGUGUGCUGCUCUGGUCUGGAUCAAAGCUCGCUUUGACUUCUUUGAUCUAACAGCUGUUUUUAUAAUGCUGGAUGAAGGAGGUCUGUUCACAUUCAUCUGUGUUUAUUUAAUGACUUCACAGCUCAUUUGCAUAUUCACACAUGAAUACACAAAAAGGUGUCAGAGUGUCUCCAGCAGGGGCGGAGCGUGGGGGUGGCUUACGGGGCUUAAGCCCGGGGUCUUUUGGAGUGUAAUUUCUUCAUAGUUAGAUGUCUGGCUGACAACUGUAUAAAACAAAAAGUACACACAAUAUUCGAAGCACAUAGUGCACACUGUGGGAAUUUACGACUGUGUGUGAAUCCCCCCUGAUAUUGGUAUGAUCCGAGCUCAGGCACUAAGCGACUGAGCGAGGGGGCGGGGCAGCUGCUGCCUGUGAGUGCGCUGUUGGAGAAACGGAGCCAGCUUAAGUUUGAGCAGGUACCAAAGCAAAUCAUUCGUACUGUACAAAUAAUGUAAAUAUGACGGUGAAUCACGAAAGAUUGAUAUCAAACUGAUCACUAGACUAAUAUUACGUUACUUGUUCUUCAAGUGAAUCAACAAAUGGUGAAAUGAAAAGCCGAACAACAACAAUGCUGUUUCUUUAGAGAGUCUCAGCUUACAUGUGUUUAUUUCAUAUUUUCAGGUCUUACCCUCCCCGACUAAAUCGGUUUCAAAUUCAAAUUCAAAUUUUAUUUGUCACGUACACAGUCAUACACAGUACGAUAUGUAGUGAAAUGCUUGGACGACUGCUCGUGACCUAAAGAAAACAAAAAAGGAAAAGGCUAUGAAUAAGAUAGGAAAUAAAUAUGAAAAAUUAAAAAGGGUAAAUUUAACUAGGAAGGAAUAAAAUAUAAAUUAAGGUUAAAAAUGAAAUAACUGUACAACACAAAUUAGAAUGAAGGGUAAAUUUAACUGGGAAGAAUAAGAUAAAGAUAAAUAUAUAAAUUAAAGUUGAAAAUAAAAUAACUGUACAACAAAAUACACAAUAUAGAACUAUAUAAGAAUGUAUGAAGAAAUCUAAAUAUAAAUAAAUAUAUACACAAUAACAGCAGCUGUACAAGUAUUAACUGGAAAUGAAGAAUAUAGUGACCAGUGUUGUGCAAAACCAAUGUCCAGAAAGUCCAGUGUGUGUGUAAGAACCAUAUGUGUGGGUCAGUACUGUGUGGUGGUGUGAUUGAGAGACCGUAUCGCCCGCGGGAAGAAGCUCCUCCUCAGUCUCUCUGUGUUGGUCUUCAGGGAGCGGAAUCGCUUUCCUGACCUCAGCAGAGAGAACAGUCUGUUGUUGGGAUGGCUGAGGUCCUUCACCAUCUUCCUGGCCUUGGUCCGGCACCGCCUGCUGUAGAUUGAGUGCAGGUCAGGGAGCUCGGAGCGGAUGGUGCGCUCAGCUGACCGCACAACCCUCUGUAGAGCUCGUCUGUCCUGCAUGGUGCUGUUCCCGAACCAGGUUAAGAUGUUUCCCGUCAGGAUGCUCUCUAUGGUGCACGAGUAAAAGUUCCUGAGCACCUUGGAGGGCAGUUGGAAGUCUCUCAAGCGUCUGAGGUGGUAGAGACGCUGACGGGCCUUUUUCACCACGGUGUUGAUGUGACAGGACCAUGACAGGUCCUGCGUGAUCUGAACUCCGAGGUAUUUGAAGCUGUCCACUCUCUCCACUGGGCACUCGUUGAUGACGGGGGUCUGGUAGUUCCUCUCCUGCUUAGUGCUGAAGUCCACUAUCAGCUCCUUUGUCUUACUGACGUUUAGAAGGAGGUUGUUCCUCUGGCACCAGUUCUCCAGAUUCCUAAUCUCCUUCAGGUAGGCCGUCUCGUUGUUAUCAGAGAUCAGGCCCACCACGACGGUGUCGUCAGCAAACUUGAUGAUGGUGGUGGAGCUGGUAGUGGCCACACAGUCAUAUGUGUACAAAGAGUACAGCAGGGGGCUCAGAACACACCCCUGGGGGGCUCCAGUGCUGAGAGUGGUGGAGGCUGAGACAUGUCCGCCCAUCCUUACUGGCUGUGGUCUGCCAGUUAGGAAGUUGGAGAUCCACUGACACAUAGAUGAGCUGAGUCCCAGAUGCUCCAGCUUGGUGGUGAGUGUGGAGGGAAUUAUGGUAUUAAAUGCAGAGCUGUAGUCUAUGAAGAGCAUUUUAACAUAAUUCCCCCUUCUAGUGUCCAAGUGAGUGAGUGAUGUGUGGAGGAGAUGAGAGAUGGCAUCGUCUGUGGAACGAUUUGGACGGUAAGCGAACUGUAGUGGGUCCAGUGUGUCUGGUAGUGAAGAAAUGAAAUGAUUCAAAUGAUUCAGUUAUGUACUGAAAUAUAAGAAUGGACAUUAGAGGCUUCUUUCAAAGAAAAAACUCAGGUAAAUGUUAUUUUAUAUAUUAUGCUUUGUAUGUUGUUCAGUAUAUUUCUAUGCAAAACAAGAGGAACUUCUAUACACAGCAGGAUAUUCACAGUUUAAACCAGAUAUUUACACUUUAUGGAAAACACAAGAACAGUUUUUACUGUACAACAUCAAUUUAGAGUCAACUUUUGUUUUAGAUAAAUAUUGAAAUAUCUUUUGAAUUAGUUAAAUGUCAGAAUAAAGAGAGACAGAGCUUCUAUUUUUAUCACUUUCAUCAAAUGUAGGAGUACAUGUACACUAAGUUUAUUGUAAAUUAAUAAGAAACUCCAGACGAUUCCAUUCUGAGCUGAAGAAGCUUCUGAUUGGUUCGUAGAGUCCAUGUGAGUAAAUUGGUGGCACAGCUGUGGAUGCAUAUAAGGCAAAACACAGAGCCUGUUUCUGUGACAUGGGAACAUCAGGAGAUGUCAACAAAACACCAGGAAGAGAACUGUGGAGCUCCAUAAGUGUGGCUCAGUUUGAAUACAAUUUGGUGCCAUUUACAAGAAAUACAGACAGUUUCUCUCUUUACUCUUAAAGUUAACAAAUAUGUUUUUAUAUUUAUCUAAAAAAUAAACAUUUAGUCUGAUUUGAUGUUACAAUUAAAAAAGUGUUUUUAUCUGAAGAGUUUGUAAAUAUCUGUAUAACUGUAUAUUUGAUGAUUGUCAGCACAAAGAGGAAGAGAGGGAACAAGAGCAGGUGAGACUCACAUGUUAGUCAAAUGGUUGUUUACCAAAAGUAUCAGCGUAUCACAGGUCCUCAUGUAUCUCGUACCUCGUGUUUCUUUUUAGGUUUGUUAUUUUUCAAAUUCUAUAUUUAUUAAGUUCUGCAGCUUGUUUGCACAACAAGGUUAAAUAAUUAUAUAAACUUUGGUAGAAUUAAAAAAAUAAGUGUAGUGCAGGUCUAUGAUGAUUUUUAGUGCUGCUAUCAUCUAGUUCUGAUUCUGGUUCUGUCUUGGUUAAGUCCUCAGUAGUCCUGAUUUUGGACUGUUGUAGUCCUGCUUUAAUUCCGGAUCAGUUCUGGGUCUGGUUGAAUUGGGGUUUAGGCCUUGUGUCUUGAUACAGCCCUGACUUUGUUCUGCCUCGCUGCUUAAUUAAAAAACUAGUUUAAGGUGUCCUGCACAUGUGAUAUAUAUUUUUCCCUAUAUGAAGUCAUUUUUUUUGAACAAAACUCAAAACAGAGCCUAAUUAAUCUUUCAGUCAUUUCUAACCCCCCCCCCCCCCAAAAAAAAAAAAAAUCCCACAUGCAUACUACCCUUUAGGGCUAAGCCCCGGGUGUUUCAAAUGUCUGGCUCCGCCUCUGGUCUCCAGUAAGGUGUCAGGCAGCCGUUACUGCUCACGGAGUCUCACUGAUGGCCGAGCAUGUCUUUAUCCUGUCUUCCUUCUCUCACCCCAACCAAUCACAGCAGAUGGCCCCGCCCCUCCCUGAGCCUGGUUCUGCCGGAGGUUUCUUCCUGUUAAAAGGGAGUUUUUCCUUCCCACUGUCACCAAAGUGCUGCUCAUAGGGGGUCAUAUGAUUGUUUGCCUGUAUUAUUGUAGGGUCUUUACUGUAUGUUAUAAAGGACUCUGAGGUGACUGUUUGGUGCUAUAUGACUUAAGUUGAAUGAAAUUAUUAGAAACUUUUGUCAUGUUUAAUAUGAACAUCCACCUCAGGAAAAUGACAUGUGUAAUGGGAAAUUUAAAAAAAGCAAACGUCCAUUUUGCAAAACACUUUGCGUUCACAUACAGUUUUCAUUUCAUUUAACAAAUUGACUUUUGUACUGUUCAGGUUUCUAAAGUAUGGUGCCUCAUUUGGUAAAAUUGGAAAGGAACUCUGUUGCACAGCACAUCACCAGGACUGAACUGCCAGCCAUGCAGGAUCUUUAUAGGCAGCGCUGCAUGAGGAAGACGCAGCGGGGCCUCUCUGAUCCCAGCCACCCCAGUCAUAGACUUUUCACACUGCUGCCGUCCAGCAGGCAGUUCAGGAGCAUUCAGACCCGCACUAGCAGACAGAGACAGUUUUCACCCAAAAGCCAUCAGACUGCUGACAUUCCACACUCACUACCAUCACAGGACUCUGCACACUGUCACUUCAACAAAUGCCACUUAAAUGCUCAUUGCACAACUUUUAAGAUAAGAUAAGAUAAGAUAGAACUUUAUUAAUCCCUCG